RNAcentral lists this ribosomal RNA (253 nucleotides) under uncultured bacterium. RNAcentral describes it as "partial 16S ribosomal RNA". It matches the Rfam family "Bacterial small subunit ribosomal RNA", at positions 524 to 776 of the family's 1533-position model. The record is from RNAcentral.
UACGAAGGGGGCUAGCGUUGCUCGGAAUUACUGGGCGUAAAGGGAGCGUAGGCGGCUUGUCACGUCGGGUGUGAAAGCCCGGGGCUUAACCCCGGGUCUGCAUUCGAUACGGGCUAGCUAGAGUGUGGUAGGGGAGAUCGGAAUUCCUGGUGUAGCGGUGAAAUGCGUAGAUAUGUGGAGGAACACCGAUGGCGAAGGCAGCCUUCUGGGCCAACACUGACGCUCAUGCACGAAAGCGUGGGGAGCAAACAGG